This 1623-nucleotide long non-coding RNA is filed under the name Sus scrofa (pig). RNAcentral's name for it is "lncRNA (ENSSSCG00000060262.1)". The record is from RNAcentral. Lineage: Eukaryota; Metazoa; Chordata; Mammalia; Artiodactyla; Suidae.
UAAGAUAGUUAAAACAGGGAUUGCAUGUAUUUCCUCACAUUCAAAUGUAUUUGCCUGAAUUCAGACAGCAGAAGUUCAGAUAGAGUUACCAUAGUUCAUAUUUGGUUUCUAGGGUUUGGAUGAGAAAGCCAAAGAAUAUGUUGUCAAGAGGUGAGAAACUAGAGAAUCUGUUAAAAUUUUCUAAAUAUAUUCAGCUCUUAAGUUGUUAAACUCUGCAGUAACAUGAACUCGGCCUAGACUCUUUCUAAUGGUAGGUUGUUCAUUAGAUUCAAUAUUUUCUUAGGUCAAGAAGAGAGAGAACAUGUUAUUUCUGUUUUAGGUUGUCUUUUUUUUGCUAUUAUUUAUAUCUCCAUAACCUUGCUUAUUUGUAUCUGCUUGAUGCAUCAAAUUCUCAUGCAAAAUUCCCCACUGUGGCUAUGAUUUUUAUAAUGAUUACACCUGUCUUUGUCAGAGCUUUGCUUUAUAUAUUUUGCUGCUGUAGUUUUUGGUGUACAGGAAUUCACUAAUUAUACUUGAAGAUGUCACAAUUUGCCUCUUUUCCCUGCUUAACAGUCUUGAUCUUGAAUUCUGCUUAUCUGAUUGUGAUUCUGCCAUUUCUGCUUUCUGUUUGCUUACAUUUGCCUGGUGUAAUUUUCCACAUCCUUUAUUUUCAAACUUUCUUUAUCAUUCUGUUUUAGGCGUGUUUCUUGCCUAUGACAUUGGGCAAGGUAUAUCUGUUAGGAUAAUUUGGGUUGCAAAUAAUGUGCACUGGUUUCCAAAAAUAGAGGAGGAUGUAUUUGCUCUUAUAAUGUUGCAGGAUAGGUUUUGUUUUCAAGCAUGGUUUGUUUCAGUUUUGAUGCUUGAUUUCUCUCAGUUCACUCAGUUCUGUGUUCCUUUGUGUGUUAGACUAUUUUCUCUCCUGGGAGCAAAAUGGCCACAGAGGCCCAGGCCUCCCAUGUGUUUAUACCUCAAAGUCCAGAAAAUGAGAAAACUUCUCUUCUGAAAAUCUUGAAACUCUUUAAUCACAUGUCAAACCCUAAAAAAAAAAAAAAAUUCACUGUGACCGGUGAUGUGCCAUGCCGCAUUGCGUUUGGGCCUGUAUUACUCAUCUUCGAACCAACCACUUUGGUGGGGAGAUUAAUAUUAUGAUAAAAGGUUCCUUUGGGUGAAUUAAAGCUCAAAGCCUAAAAUUGAAAUUUAAGAUUAAUUCCCAUCCGAGCCAGUGAGCCAGUGUUCAAGAGAACAGAGUAGAUAAGUAUUGUAAAGAAGUUACCACAGUUCUCAUUACUGGAUAACAACGUAAUUCUUUAUCUUCAAAAGGUAAAUGAAUAAACUAACAGAAUGUACCAGAAAAAAAUAAGAAAUAAUAAGUAAGAUUGCUAUUGCAAUAUUAAUGUUGAGAAGUAAAAAAUCAGGAGUUUCCCUAUCACAAAUCAUAACCAAUUAGAAAAUAUAACUGGGAGUUCCAUUGUGGCUCAGUGGAUUAUGAACCCAACUAGUAUCCAUGAAGAUAUGGGUUCAAUCCCUGGCCUCAGUUAAUUGGUUAUAGGAUCUGGCAUUGCUGUGCCUGUAGCUGUGGCUGGCAGCUGCACCUCCAAUUUGACUCCUAGCCUGGGAACGUCCAUAUGCCAUGGGUGUGGCCCU